Molecule: long non-coding RNA, 482 nt
Filed under: Manacus vitellinus (golden-collared manakin)
Lineage: Eukaryota; Metazoa; Chordata; Aves; Passeriformes; Pipridae
Description: lncRNA (ENSMVIG00005002013.1)
Source: RNAcentral
CAGAAGGACAGCCUAGACAGCUGAGAAUGCAUGUGGCCAGUGGGUCAUGGCAUUAUAAGGAGAUAAAAGACAACUCAGAAAUUCAUCAAUGUGGGGUCAGCAGAAGAGAAUCAGCGUUGCAGGUGCCAGGGGCUGAGAAAGUAAAUCCUGAAAUAAAAGGAAAAACACGAACAUGUGCUGGGAAUUUUACUGGAAGCUCAGCAGCUGGAAUAUAACCACUGAGAUCAACUCCGAUGUUGUCAGUGCAGAAGAGCCAGCAGUGGAGGUGGUUUUCUGUAACACCAGUAUCCCCCACAGCCGGAGUCUGGACAAAAACAUUUCUGUCAUUCUGGAAUGCAUAUGGAGAGAGAGCAAAGAGAUAUAUGUGCUACUAGGCUUUUUUUUCUUCACAGUAACCUGAAUUCAUGACAUUUAUUCUAAGCACAGCUGUUACUGUCUUUCAGCUGUAAAAAAAAAUAAAGAGGAAAAAAAUUCUUUUGGCA